GAACAACUCUCAGCAACGGAUAUCUCGGCUCUUGCAUCGAUGAAGAACGCAGCGAAAUGCGAUAAGUGGUGUGAAUUGCAGGAUCCCGUGAACCAUCGAGUCUUUGAACGCAAGUUGCGCCCAAGGCCAUCAGGCCAAGGGCACGCCUGCCUGGGCAUUGCGA
This 163-nucleotide ribosomal RNA is filed under the name Paphiopedilum jackii. Its description in RNAcentral is "5.8S ribosomal RNA". It matches the Rfam family "5.8S ribosomal RNA". From Rfam's summary of the family: 5.8S ribosomal RNA (5.8S rRNA) is a component of the large subunit of the eukaryotic ribosome. It is transcribed by RNA polymerase I as part of the 45S precursor that also contains 18S and 28S rRNA. Functionally, it is thought that 5.8S rRNA may be involved in ribosome translocation. RNAcentral also lists the same sequence under 3 other names. Lineage: Eukaryota; Viridiplantae; Streptophyta; Magnoliopsida; Asparagales; Orchidaceae. The record is from RNAcentral.